RNAcentral lists this ribosomal RNA (300 nucleotides) under uncultured Ignicoccus sp. RNAcentral describes it as "bacterial SSU rRNA". The stretch from base 58 to 300 matches the Rfam family "Bacterial small subunit ribosomal RNA", at positions 553 to 795 of the family's 1533-position model. Lineage: Archaea; Thermoproteati; Thermoproteota; Thermoprotei; Desulfurococcales; Desulfurococcaceae. The record is from RNAcentral.
GGAGAGUUUGAGCGUGGCGCGGGGUUGAAAGGAGGGGGUCUAGCGUGGCUGGGAAGGAAUGGGGGUACAGGGGGCGUUGGGGGUUUGUACAGUCAGGCGUGAAAGUCCUGUGCUCAAGCUGGGGGCUGCGGUUGAUACGUAGGGACUGGAGUUCGGAAGAGGGUCGUGGAAUUCCCAGUGUAGGGGUGAAAUUCGUAGAUAUUGGGAAGAACACCGGUGGCGAAGGCGGCGACCUGGUCCUGGACUGACGCUGAGGCGCGAAAGCGUGGGGAGCAAACAGGAUUAGAUACCCGAGUAGUC